AUCACUGGUCCCAAGUCCCUGAACCAGAUUUGUUCUACCAUGAUGAAGGAUACUACAUUGUAAAAUUCAAGACAGUGGCUGAUGCCAAAGAGGUACUGUGUGCCGGCCCUUAAUCAAUAGCCAAUAGGCCGAUGAUUCUCAAACAAAUGGACACCAGAGUUUGAUUUUACAGAAGAAUUUCCGACUGAAAUACCACUGUGCUGGCCCUUACUCAAUAGCCAAUAGGCCGAUGAUCUCAAAUAAUGGACACCAGAGUUUGAUUUUUCAGAAGAAUUUCCGAGUGAAAUACCACUGUGGGUUAAAUUUCCAAAACUACCAAUGUCAUGCUGGGGUAUGAGAUUUCUUAGUAGAAUUGCUAGCGUACUAGGCAAGCCAAUCUUUGCAGAUGAGUGUACUACAAAACAGACAAGGAUAUCCUAUGCCAGAAUGCUCAUUGAGGUGACUGUUACCAAAGAACUACCUACAGAAGUAAUGGUUAUGGAUCCAAAUGGG
Molecule: long non-coding RNA, 492 nt
Filed under: Nicotiana benthamiana
Lineage: Eukaryota; Viridiplantae; Streptophyta; Magnoliopsida; Solanales; Solanaceae
Description: long non-coding RNA (NBEN_LNC019188)
Source: RNAcentral